CCUACGGGAGGCAGCAGUGGGGAAUAUUGGACAAUGGGGGAAACCCUGAUCCAGCGACGCCGCGUGAGUGAAGAAGUAUUUCGGUACGUAAAGCUCUAUCAGCAGGAAAGAAAAUGACGGUACCUGACUAAGAAGCCCCGGCUAACUCCGUGCCAGCAGCCGCGGUACUACGUAGGGGGCAGGCGUUAUCCGGAUUUACUGGGUGUAAGGGGAGCGUAGACGGCAGCGCAAGUCUGGAGUGAAAUGCCGGGGCCCAACCCCGGAACUGCUCUGGAAACUGUGAAGCUGGAGUGCAGGAGAGGUAGGCGGAAUUCCUGGUGUAGCGGUGAAAUGCGUAGAUAUCAGGAGGAACACCGACGGCGAAGGCAGCUUACUGGACUGUAACUGACGUUGAGGCUCGAAGGCGUGGGGAGCAAACAGGAUUAGAUACCCUUGUAGUC
This 440-nucleotide ribosomal RNA is filed under the name uncultured bacterium. RNAcentral describes it as "partial 16S ribosomal RNA". It matches the Rfam family "Bacterial small subunit ribosomal RNA", at positions 338 to 795 of the family's 1533-position model. The record is from RNAcentral.